UUAUGAUGAAGAAAUAAUAAUGAUAAUAAUAUUAAUAGCUCGUGGUAGUGGUAAUAGAAAUGAAGGUGGUGGUAUUUAUUAAUAUUAAUGGCAACAUUUUAUUUGUUUUAUUUUGGUAAUAUUUAAAUUUAUUUUUAAUAUUUAUAGAUUGUUUGAUGUAAUAAUAUAAAAUUUAAAAAAUAUAUUUUUUAAUAUAUUUUUAAACAAAAAUUAUUAGAAUUUCAAACACAAUUUUUGAACCACGGCCAAAACAAGAGUUGCAAUAUUAGUUUUGUUGAGUUUAGAUUCAAAAGAUGAGGAAGAUAUGUUGUCAGAUGUGAAAAGGGCAAGUUGCAAUCAGGACCAUUCAAGUGUGGAGAGGAAUGAGAAGAGGAGGCCUGCCUGGGAUCAUGAUUGCUGGUGGGGGCAUAGACAUAUUUUAUUUGGGAAGAAGAGGGACAG
RNAcentral lists this long non-coding RNA (441 nucleotides) under Populus trichocarpa (black cottonwood). RNAcentral describes it as "long non-coding RNA (PTRI_LNC000237)". The record is from RNAcentral. Lineage: Eukaryota; Viridiplantae; Streptophyta; Magnoliopsida; Malpighiales; Salicaceae.